RNAcentral lists this small RNA (104 nucleotides) under Marmota monax (woodchuck). The record is from RNAcentral. Lineage: Eukaryota; Metazoa; Chordata; Mammalia; Rodentia; Sciuridae.
ACCCAGUGGUAUGUGCUUGUAGUCCCAGCUACUUGGGAGGUUGAGGCAGAAGGAUCACUUGAGCUUAGGAGCCAGUCUGAGUAACAUAGUGAAACCUGUCUAUU